GGGAGGCAGCAGUGAGGAAUAUUGGACAAUGGGUGAGAGCCUGAUCCAGCCAUCCCGCGCGAAGGACGACUGCCCUAUGGGUUGUAAACUUCUUUUAUACUGGGAUAAACCUACCCUCGUGAGGGUAGCUGAAGGUACAGUAUGAAUAAGCACCGGCUAACUCCGUGUCUCAGCCG
RNAcentral lists this ribosomal RNA (176 nucleotides) under uncultured Chryseobacterium sp. RNAcentral's name for it is "partial 16S ribosomal RNA". It matches the Rfam family "Bacterial small subunit ribosomal RNA", at positions 343 to 517 of the family's 1533-position model. The record is from RNAcentral. Lineage: Bacteria; Pseudomonadati; Bacteroidota; Flavobacteriia; Flavobacteriales; Weeksellaceae.